AUCCGGAUAGCUCUGUCGGUAGAGCAUGAGACUCGUAAUCUCAGGGUCGUGCGUUUGAGCCCCACACUAGGCA
RNAcentral lists this transfer RNA (73 nucleotides) under Podarcis lilfordi (Lilford's wall lizard). Its description in RNAcentral is "tRNA.Thr". The stretch from base 8 to 65 matches the Rfam family "tRNA", at positions 8 to 63 of the family's 71-position model. From Rfam's summary of the family: Transfer RNA (tRNA) molecules are approximately 80 nucleotides in length. Their secondary structure includes four short double-helical elements and three loops (D, anti-codon, and T loops). Lineage: Eukaryota; Metazoa; Chordata; Lepidosauria; Squamata; Lacertidae. The record is from RNAcentral.